UUUAAUAUCCCUGUCAGUUUCAAUUUGACCAAACUUUAUUUGUGCAGCUUCACUUUGUGGAAUAACAACCCAGUUCUUGAAAGACUUUUAAAACUUAUACUAAAAUAAAAUAAAUUUUUUGUAUAUUUCAUAAUACGCUUUUACACUUGACCCCUUGACCCCACAGACACCCUGGAUCUUUCUAUAAUAGUUCCUGGCUGUAAAUGGUGACAGAUCGUCUGAGCUUAUGUACAGUAGCAGGGGAGACGUUUUUUUAAGUCUUUCGUUCUUAUGUCUGUUAAAUAAUUAUCACAGAUUUAAAUUUGUGAAAUCUUUUCCAAGAUAUGUCGUGUCGACCUGAUAAGAAAUACUGCAGGUGGAUAAUGUUUGACAGGAUUCAUGUACUCAAGGUUCAAAGGUCAGUGCUUCCUUCAACAUCAACUACUACACUUCACUGACUUCUCUCUGGGACUCAGAGGAAAUUCAGCUGCAGGUCCUCAUCAUGGUGGAGCUGGCGUUCUACCCAGGGGUUGCUCUGAUGUAUUUUUUUGGCGUCAUGCAAGCGUCGAAGGACGACCGGGUGGAGCUGGACGACCGGGCGUCGAUGAAUGUGUUCUGUCUGUUUGUGCUGGCUCAACCACUGUGUCUGGUGAUAGGAGGAUACACCGGCAUGGCUACGUACCUGAUCACAGCUCUGGUCUCCUACAACGUCCUGCCCUGGAGGAAAACCAAAGAGUCUGCGAAGGAGAAGGAAUCACAGAAGAAGACAAAGUGAAAAACACUGUGAAGACAAAUGAAAUCAUGGUUGUUUUUCUGUUUCAUAUGUGAUGUAUCGUUGUUUCUUAUUUUUUUAGUGCAAAUAAAAAAUCCUAAAUCAGCA
Cynoglossus semilaevis (tongue sole) is the source of this 859-nucleotide long non-coding RNA. RefSeq lists it as uncharacterized. NCBI's taxonomy places the organism in Eukaryota, Metazoa, Chordata, Actinopteri, Pleuronectiformes, Cynoglossidae. The transcript has 2 exons. The record is from RefSeq and is a predicted model, not a curated record.